AGCAGAGAUGCUUUAGUGCCUUCGGGAACGUCUGAGACAGGUGCUGCAUGGCUGUCGUCAGCUCGUGUUGUGAAAUGUUGGGUUAAGUCCCGNAACGAGCGCAACCCUUAUCCUUUGUUGCCAGCACGUAAUGGUGGGAACUCAAAGGAGACUGCCGGUGAUAAACCGGAGGAAGGUGGGGAUGACGUCAAGUCAUCAUGGCCCUUACGAGUAGGGCUACACACGUGCUACAAUGGCGCAUACAAAGAGAAGCGACCUCGCGAGAGCAAGCGGACCUCAUAAAGUGCGUCGUAGUCCGGAUUGGAGUCUGCAACUCGACUCCAUGAAGUCGGAAUCGCUAGUAAUCGUAAAUCAGAAUGUUACGGUGAAUACGUUCCCGGGCCUUGUACACACCGCCCGUCACACCAUGGGAGUGGGUUGCAAAAGAAGUAGAUAGCUUAACCUUCGGGAGGGCGUUUACCACUUUGUGAUUCAUGACUGGGGUGAAGUCGUAACAAGGUAGGCGUAGUGCU
Molecule: ribosomal RNA, 512 nt
Filed under: uncultured bacterium
Lineage: Bacteria
Description: bacterial SSU rRNA
Rfam family: Bacterial small subunit ribosomal RNA
Source: RNAcentral